CGGGGUGCAGCAGGCGCGAAAACUUUACAAUGCGGGAAACCGUGAUAAGGGGACACCGAGUGCCAGCAUCAUAUGCUGGCUGUCCAGGUGUGUAAAAUACACCUGUUAGCAAGGGCCGGGCAAGACCGGUGCCAGCCGCCGCGGUAACACCGGCGGCCCGAGUGGUGAUCGUGAUUAUUGGGUCUAAAGGGUCCGUAGCCGGUUUGGUCAGUCCUCCGGGAAAUCUGACGGCUCAACCGUUAGGCUUUCGGGGGAUACUGCCAGGCUUGGAACCGGGAGAGGUAAGAGGUACUACAGGGGUAGGAGUGAAAUCUUGUAAUCCCUGUGAGACCACCUGUGGCGAAGGCGUCUUACCAGAACGGGUUCGACGGUGAGGGACGAAAGCUGGGGGCACGAACCGGAUUAGAUACCCGGGUAGUCCCAGCCGUAAACGAUGCUCGCUAGGUGUCAGGCAUGGCGCGACCGUGUCUGGUGCCGCAGGGAAGCCGUGAAGCGAGCCACCUGGGAAGUACGGCCGCAAGGCUGAAACUUAAAGGAAUUGGCGGGGGAGCACAAGGGCGAAUCGCGG
This 568-nucleotide ribosomal RNA is filed under the name uncultured archaeon. RNAcentral's name for it is "bacterial SSU rRNA". It matches the Rfam family "Archaeal small subunit ribosomal RNA", at positions 326 to 900 of the family's 1478-position model. The record is from RNAcentral.